This 837-nucleotide ribosomal RNA is filed under the name uncultured archaeon. RNAcentral's name for it is "bacterial SSU rRNA". It matches the Rfam family "Archaeal small subunit ribosomal RNA", at positions 21 to 859 of the family's 1478-position model. The record is from RNAcentral.
GGUUACUGCUAUCGGUGUUCGCCUAAGCCAUGCGAGUCAUAUGUUCGUAAGAACAUGGCGUACUGCUCAGUAACACGUGGAUAACCUGCCCUUGGGUCCGGCAUAACCCCGGGAAACUGGGGAUAAUUCCGGAUAACGCACAUAUGCUGGAAUGCUUUAUGCGUAAAAUGGAUUCGUCUGCCCAAGGAUGGGUCUGCGGCCUAUCAGGUAGUAGUGGGUGUAAUGUACCUACUAGCCUACGACGGGUACGGGUUGUGAGAGCAAGAGCCCGGAGAUGGAUUCUGAGACAUGAAUCCAGGCCCUACGGGGCGCAGCAGGCGCGAAAACUUUACAAUGCGGGAAACCGUGAUAAGGGGACACCGAGUGCCAGCAUCCUAUGCUGGCUGUCCGGGUGUGUAAAAUACACCUGUUAGCAAGGGCCGGGCAAGACCGGUGCCAGCCGCCGCGGUAACACCGGCGGCCCGAGUGGUGAUCGUGAUUAUUGGGUCUAAAGGGUCCGUAGCCGGUUUGGUCAGUCCUCCGGGAAAUCUGACAGCUUAACUGUUAGGCUUUCGGAGGAUACUGCCAGACUUGGAACCGGGAGAGGUAAGAGGUACUACGGGGGUAGGAGUGAAAUCUUGUAAUCCCUGUGGGACCACCUGUGGCGAAGGCGUCUUACCAGAACGGGUUCGACGGUGAGGGACGAAAGCUGGGGGCACGAACCGGAUUAGAUACCCGGGUAGUCCCAGCCGUAAACGAUGCUCGCUAGGUGUCAGGCGUGGCGCGACCGUGUCUGGUGCCGCAGGGAAGCCGUGAAGCGAGCCACCUGGGAAGUACGGCCGCAAGGCUGAAACUUGA